AUCUUGUUUUUCUACAGCUCUUGUAGCCUACGGAACGGAGAUGUUUGUUUUAAUCUGUUUAGUUGAUCAAAGAUUAUGCUGACAAAACCAGGAGGGACAGCAAUGCUGAAGGGGUAUGAAGACACUGGGACAAUGAAGAAGGCAGAUGUCCUGUUAUCAGGGAGCCUGCUGAAAGGAAGAAAAUACAGAAGAUCAGCGCAGCUCACACCAUUGAACAUCUGGUUGUAUUUCACAAGUCCUGUAGGAGCCUAGAUGAGUACCUGGAGACGAAGGAAGACGGCAGCCAUACCUACUCACCUCAGGAUCCAGCAAGCAGGCCAUCAGCAACUUCUACAUUGUCAUGUAGAAUUAUUGGCAGCAUUUGACUACAUUUUCAAAGCUAAUCUUGAUUUCAAUGUAAGCUACAAUGAGUUAAUCAGCAACAUGAACACAUUUCUCCAGACAACAGUCUACAGCAUUGAUUUUGGCAACACAAGAGAGAGCCCUAAAUCUGGGACCUUGUCGGACCCCCCUUUGCCUCCAGAAAAUGAUUAAUUUUUCAGGCCAGUCUAACGGUUUUGACUUGAAGUUAUUAUUUAUAGGGGUGCCAGGUAGGUUGUGCCUACCAGAGAAAACAUUGGUUUCUCCUUUUAGUUUGAGACGGUCACUGAGACGGUUCAGAAUAAUUCAGGGCCGUCACAAGUCUUACAAGUUGUCCAAGGAGAUGUUGGCCCAUGCUGACGCAAUUGCAUCACGCGGUUGCUACAGAUUGGACGGUGGUACAUUAAUGCUGCGAACAGCCCAUUCCAUCUCAUCCCGAAGAUGUUCUAGUCUAAUGGGUUGAGGUCUGGGAACUGCGCAAGCCACUCAAAUAAACUGAACUCGCUUUCAUGUUCCAGGCAAUGUUUUUCCACUCUUCAGUUGUCCAGUGUUGGUGAUCGUGUGCCCACUGGAACCACUUCUUCUUGUUUUUAGCUUAUAGGAGUGGAACUCGGUGUGGUCAUCUGCUGCAAUAGCCCAUCCGUGACAAGGAUUUGUCUGUGGCCCGCCUGUUAGCUUGCAAAGUUCACAUUUUUUUCAGCCUAUGUAUUGCUAUAUUGCUCUACAACCAGUUAAUUCAUAUACCUUGCGACUGUGAUAUAUAGGCCUGAAGAGCAAGACAAUAAGAAGACCCAGUGGCAGAAUAAAUUCAACCACUUCUUUGUUUUAGCACAAAACCGGAUAGGGAUGGGAUGAGAUGGGAUGAGAUGGAAUGGGCUGUUCUCUGUUCAGUGAAGUCCACAAAGCAUAUUGCAUGUAUAAUAACAGACAGUUAAUCACCCACAGCAUGGUCAAGCAAGUUCAUGUUUCCGCCAUUUUAAGACCACUAAACAGCUAUUGAUUGAGAACCACAGAGAGUUACCGCAAGUUAUUCCGGCACCAUUUCAACUUCAACACCAUGAAAUCACAUUGGUACAUUUUCUUUAUGCUUCUUUGUCAAGGGAGGCCAGAUUCCUUCUGGCAGCAACAAUGUCAUACUCGUUUGGAGCAGACAGCAUCAGAUAGAUGGCCUACACGUAGAGCGACAAAGGGGCCCUGUUUCGCUUGCUCGGAUGAUUUCUCCUGUGAGAUACAUUCAGCCUAUUUGAAUUAAAGGAAAAUUAUGAAACGUAGACAGACAAAAGACAAGUAAUUGUGUGUUUUUUUGUGUGAUUGAUAUUUUUUGGGGGGUUUACUGGCUUCCCUUUGCAUCCAUGAAUGCACACCACUGUGCAGCUGGCACAUUAAUUUGGCAAAUUAAGUUUUUGCAUGGCUUGUAUCCUGGAAUAAUUUUGUUUGAUAUGUGCUCAAGAUGGAUGUUCAUUGCAAUUCAAAAGUUUUGCACAUUUUAGAAAGCACUUGAUAAAAAACUAUGAGAAUGAUAUUCAGCAUCAUCAAGUAAUGAUGGCAACACGCCCACAACUCCACAAUCUGAGAAUGUGAUUGAAGAGACCUCGCAAGAGAGUGACUCUGAUUCAGACCUCAAUUUGUCCAUCAACCUGCAAUGUCUCAUAUCUCAAAAGACCAGUCUAAAGAAAUGUGUGCAUCUAUUAUUGCUAAGUUACAGGGCAGUGGUGUUGCUAAGAAUGUUGUACUGUCUAUUGUUGAAAGCACGGAAGAGUAUGUGAAUGAAGGUCACAGAGAAGUCUCAGGGAACAAGUAUUGAGUGUGGUCCCUCCUAACAAUCCCAGUAGAAGCUCAGUAGAAUAAGUUUUUAACAAUGUGCAUAAUCCUUUCACUGACUUAAACACAGAUGCUAAAUAUGUGAAGUAUUUCAGAGAAAAAUGUGGGGUUGUCGAACCUCUGGAAGUGCACUUAGAAGUGAGAUAUGAUUAAAAGACAAACAAAGUAACUGGAAUGAAUGAGGAUGAAUGAAAUCACAUUCAGAUGUCUUUUCAUAGUGGCAUGAAUCAUGAUUUUUCUGAUGGAAAGUACGACCGAAACCAUCCAUUGUAUUCAAAGUAUGAAAAUGACCUGCAAAUUCAAGUUUAUUAUGAUGACUUUGAAACUGUAAACCCAUUAGGGUCUAAACAUGGCAUUCAUAAACUUGAUGUCUAUAUUUCACUCUCCAUAAUUCUCCACCACCCCAGAAUUAAUCUCUGCUGAAUAUCCAUCUUAUUGCAUUGUUCCACUCUCAAGAUGGGAAGAAGUAUGGCAUUGACAGAAUUCUAAGUCCAUUUGUUGAAGAUGUAAAAGUAUUGGAACAGAGUGGAUUGAAAGUGUUGUUCACUGAUAAAUCUACUAUGGUACCAUUGCACAGAUUACGUGUGACAAUUUAUGUUUAAAUUGCAUUCUUGGUUAUGUGGAACCUUUCAGUGCCAACUACUACUGCAGGAUGUGCCUCACUGACAAGGUCACGGCUCAGGGGGUAGUCAGUCCGCACCAAAACAUUGAAUGAGGGGCAUUACAUCUUGCUUAGAAUCCAGGUGACAGUUCUUGUUGCAGAAUCAAACACAACAGUUUAGUCAAUUCCUUGACAUCAAUGUAUCAGAUAACUCGUAAUUCAUUCUGAAAAUGUAAUUCAUUAUGUUGGACAUAAUGAAUUACAUUUUAGAGGGUGUAGGACAGUAUGAGAUCAAGCUGCUCUUUGAAUAUUUAGUAAGAACUUUCCAAUGAAAACAUUAUUAAAUGAGUUUAUACAUUCAGCUAUGGCUAUAUGGACAAAAAUAACCACAAGACAAAGUUAAGCCUACAACACAGCGGUAAUGGCAUCGGGAUUAAUGCCAGUCGAACAAUGUCUUUUAUGAGGAACAUUCAUCUAAUAUUUGGUGAUGUUGGUCCCAGAAGGAGAUAGACACUGGCAUUUGAUGUUGCUGCUGUUGGACAUCUUCAACAUGUAUUUUCUCCCAGCAUCACUGAGGGGAUGACUGUAUUUUUUAAGCAUGUUAUCCCAGAGCAUCAUAUAUUGUUUACAGAGUUAGUUGUAUCCGCUGAAUUAUCUGAUUACGAAGCAUCACUUCAUGAUCCACUAGCCAGAAUCUAUACGAGAAAUUGGUCCAUUGGUACAUGUUUCAGGUCUAGCAUGAAACAUUUAAAGAAUGUAACCAAAUCCCUCGCUAGUAAACACCAAGUGGUCAUUGCAUAUCAUUGAGAAUUAGUCUGGGCAUUUCAAAACUCAAAUGUUGAAUGACAUUGAAAAUUUAAAAUUGAUCUCAGAGAAUUUUCAGUUUGAUGUGUCCUGUUCAAUAUGGGUCACACCCUAGUCGUGUGAUGGUAUUGAGUAUUGCACUGGCCUUGUCUGUUCAAAUGUAGUGGGUGAGAGGCCUGUGUUCAGUAAGAUUGUUGGCAUAUACAGUACAAGUCAAAAGUUUGGACAAACCUACUCAAAAAAGGGUUUUUCUUUAUUUUUGCUAUUCUCUACAUA
This is a non-coding RNA of Oncorhynchus mykiss (rainbow trout), 3862 nucleotides long. NCBI's taxonomy places the organism in Eukaryota, Metazoa, Chordata, Actinopteri, Salmoniformes, Salmonidae. The record is from RefSeq and is a predicted model, not a curated record.